GAUGUGCCCAGAUGGGAUUAGCUAGUAGGUGGGGUAAUGGCUCACCUAGGCGACGAUCCCUAGCUGGUCUGAGAGGAUGACCAGCCACACUGGAACUGAGACACGGUCCAGACUCCUACGGGAGGCAGCAGUGGGGAAUAUUGCACAAUGGGCGCAAGCCUGAUGCAGCCAUGCCGCGUGUAUGAAGAAGGCCUUCGGGUUGUAAAGUACUUUCAGCGGGGAGGAAGGUGUUGAGGUUAAUAACCUCAGCAAUUGACGUUACCCGCAGAAGAAGCACCGGCUAACUCCGUGCCAGCAGCCGCGGUAAUACGGAGGGUGCAAGCGUUAAUCGGAAUUACUGGGCGUAAAGCGCACGCAGGCGGUCUGUCAAGUCGGAUGUGAAAUCCCCGGGCUCAACCUGGGAACUGCAUUCGAAACUGGCAGGCUAGAGUCUUGUAGAGGGGGGUAGAAUUCCAGGUGUAGCGGUGAAAUGCGUAGAGAUCUGGAGGAAUACCGGUGGCGAAGGCGGCCCCCUGGACAAAGACUGACGCUCAGGUGCGAAAGCGUGGGGAGCAAA
Molecule: ribosomal RNA, 556 nt
Filed under: uncultured bacterium
Lineage: Bacteria
Description: bacterial SSU rRNA
Rfam family: Bacterial small subunit ribosomal RNA
Source: RNAcentral